This 805-nucleotide unclassified non-coding RNA is filed under the name Hevea brasiliensis (rubber tree). The record is from RNAcentral. Lineage: Eukaryota; Viridiplantae; Streptophyta; Magnoliopsida; Malpighiales; Euphorbiaceae.
UGAGGUUGCAUCAAAUUUAUAAGCUAAGACAUCACAAGAGAAUUCUCUGAUUCUCAUUGACUAUAAAUGGUACUCUCAACUUUUGGUUUGUUUUAUCCCCGAUGACAUAUCCUUGCAAUUCUCUAGCUCGAAUGAACAACAAACAAGAUCUUGACUGUGCAAGAUAGUUAGUACUAUCAAGCUUUACGGGAUUGAUUUGUAAAGAAAAAUUGUUAGUCAUAAUACCCAUCUUGAUUUCUGAAAAUUUUUUUCCCCUCAACCAUUAGAAAAGGGAAUAGUAGGAUAACAAUACCAAAAACGAAAAAAAAAAGAUGUAGCAGUAUAGGCUCAAAAACAAAUAGGUCCAGGUAUCAAGGUGCAAACCAGGCGAGAGGAACAGGUUGGGUAGAGGUGCGAUAGUCAGGGGAGACCACCGAAAGAAGGUUCGGCCAGAAAAAGUGGCCGAAAGAGGGGCUCACUUACCAGCACGUGGAAGACUACUGAGAUCUUGUGUCGGCGUGUGAGGCCACACACUUCGUUGGACAGUGACGAGUCUUUGGUGACAGACCGAUCGAAGGUUGAGCUUCCUCCUAGGGUAAGUGGUGACAGCUCAAUCUCCUUCUACAGGUCGCUUAGAAGUUUACGCACUUAGAAACCCUAGUUCCUUUCAAAAGCAAAUUACGCCACUAAAGGGUGGCUAUGCUCUGAUACCAUGUUGAGAAGAAUUCUUGGAGAAAAGAGUUUUUUAUUUUAGUAUAUAUUUACCUUUUGCACUCUUCCUAUUUAUAUACAACAUUCCUUAAUAUAAAAGAAGUCUAGAUAUUGU